RNAcentral lists this ribosomal RNA (935 nucleotides) under human gut metagenome. Its description in RNAcentral is "bacterial LSU rRNA". It matches the Rfam family "Bacterial large subunit ribosomal RNA", at positions 1705 to 2632 of the family's 2925-position model. The record is from RNAcentral.
AGAAGGAACUCGGCAAAUUGACACCGUAACUUCGGAAGAAGGUGUGCCUUUGUAGCGUGAGAGAAGAAACACCUUAAGCGUGAAGAGGCCUCAGAGAAUAGGUGGCUGCAACUGUUUACUAAAAACACAGCACUCUGCAAAGACGAAAGUCGACGUAUAGGGUGUGAUGCCUGCCCGGUGCUGGAAGAUUAAUUGAUGGGCUGCAAGGUCCUGAUCGAAGUCCCAGUAAACGGCGGCCGUAACUAUAACGGUCCUAAGGUAGCGAAAUUCCUUGUCGGGCAAGUUCCGACCUGCACGAAUGGCAUAACGAUGGCCACACUGUCUCCUCCUGAGACUCAGUGAAGUUGAAGUGUUUGUGAUGAUGCAAUCUCCCCGCGGCUAGACGGAAAGACCCCAUGAACCUUUACUGUAGCUUUGCAUUGGACUUUGAACCGAUCUGUGUAGGAUAGGUGGGAGGCAGUGAAGCUAGGACGCCAGUCUUAGCGGAGCCAACCUUGAAAUACCACCCUGAUUUGUUUGAGGUUCUAACCUGGGACAGUCAUCCUGUCCGGGGACCGUGCAUGGUAGGCAGUUUGACUGGGGCGGUCUCCUCCUAAAGGGUAACGGAGGAGUGCGAAGGUACGCUAGGUACGGUCGGAAAUCGUGCUGAUAGUGCAAUGGCAAAAGCGUGCUUGACUGCGAGACCCACAAGUCGAGCAGAUACGAAAGUAGGUCAUAGUGAUCCGGUGGCUCUGUAUGGAAGGGCCAUCGCUCAACGGAUAAAAGGUACUCCGGGGAUAACAGGCUGAUUCCGCCCAAGAGUUCAUAUCGACGGCGGUGUUUGGCACCUCGAUGUCGGCUCAUCUCAUCCUGGGGCUGUAGCCGGUCCCAAGGGUAUGGCUGUUCGCCAUUUAAAGAGGUACGUGAGCUGGGUUUAAAACGUCGUGAGACAGUUU